UUUUUUCUUUAUAAUUAUUCCCCUAUUUGAAAAAUCAACUUGUAUAUGAGGCAGCAAACACCUUGCAGGGCAGCCUUCCCUUUUAGUUUCAGGACGCGGUGGUGGAUGGAACCACUGUAACCUGGCCUCCCUCCAUGAGAGGAGGGAAUCCAGGUGGCCAUGUUGAAAUGUGCCUGUGUGCAGCAAGGCUUCUGAAAUGACAAGAGAGCCCAGCAGCUUCCAAAGCAGCUGUGACUCUGGAUCUCACCCAUCAUCUCUGCUUCUCACUGUUAGAGGAGUGAAUCUGUGCUGCCUUAGGAGGCAUGGAACCUGGGACUUUUCUUCCUUGUUUAAUGUUUAAUUUUAUUAAAAAAAUUUGUAAGUGAUAGAUGUUGAUCUCGUGACAAAAGAGAGAUUCCCUCUUUAUAAAACUAUUCUAACUAAAGAUCUUUUGUAAACCCAUGUGUUAGAAAUAAAACUUGAAUAUCCCC
Molecule: small RNA, 470 nt
Filed under: Pan troglodytes (chimpanzee)
Lineage: Eukaryota; Metazoa; Chordata; Mammalia; Primates; Hominidae
Description: sense intronic
Source: RNAcentral